AAAUCAACGAUGUGUUGAUCCGUGUAAUGCGGUUCUGCAGGUUUGUUACAGACCGAGAAGACAUGACCAAUGUCAGCAGACUCACACCAGUACCCUUAUCCAGAAACAACGAAAUAUCCAAUUCACCCCAACGAUUGGCAAUUUGUCGAACCCGAUUCUCUUUCAAGUUCAAAAUUGGACGAUGCUUUCGGGAUUUACUGUCAAAGCAUUCGAAGACGCCGGAUAUACACGAAUCAUUGGUGUAUUCGAUGUGUUUCCU
Molecule: long non-coding RNA, 259 nt
Organism: Mizuhopecten yessoensis (Yesso scallop)
Lineage: Eukaryota; Metazoa; Mollusca; Bivalvia; Pectinida; Pectinidae
Exons: 3
Source: RefSeq, a predicted model, not a curated record